Molecule: ribosomal RNA, 253 nt
Filed under: uncultured bacterium
Lineage: Bacteria
Description: partial 16S ribosomal RNA
Rfam family: Bacterial small subunit ribosomal RNA
Source: RNAcentral
UACGUAGGGACCGAGCGUUGUCCGGAAUCAUUGGGCGUAAAGAGCGUGUAGGCGGCCACUUAAGUCCUGCGUGAAAUCUUGCGGCUCAACCGCAAGCGGUCGUGGGAAACUGGGUGGCUAGAGUGCAAAAAAGAAAAGUAGAAUUCCUAAUAUAACGGUGGAAUGCGCAGAUAUCAGGAAAAACACCCAUAACAAAAACAACUCUCUAAAACACAACUAACACUGAGACACGAAAACAUAAAAAGCAAACAGG